Long non-coding RNA from Oncorhynchus keta (chum salmon), 606 nucleotides. RefSeq lists it as uncharacterized. The transcript is spliced from 3 exons. The record is from RefSeq and is a predicted model, not a curated record. Lineage: Eukaryota; Metazoa; Chordata; Actinopteri; Salmoniformes; Salmonidae.
GGUGUCUACAGGUCAGUACACCACUGGACAGGGACAGAUGUGGUGUCUCCAGGUCAGUACACCACUGGACAGAGAGACAGAUGUGGUGUCUACAGGUCAGUACACCACUGGACAGAGAGACAGAUGUGGUGUCUACAGGUCAGUACACCACUGGACAGAGAGACAGAUGUGGUGUCUACAGGUCAGUACACCACUGGACAGAGAGACAGAUGUGGUGUCUACAGGUCAGUACACCACUGGACAGAGAGACAGAUGUGGUGUCUACAGGUCAGUACACCACUGUACAGAGACAGAUGUGGUGUCUACAGGUCAGUACACCACUGGACAGAGAGACAGAUGUGGUGUCUACAGGUCAGUACACCACUGGACAGAGAGACAGAUGUGGUGUCUACAGGUCAGUACACCACUGGACAGAGAGACAGAUGUGGUGUCUACAGGUCAGUACACCACUGGACAGAGAGACAGAUGUGGUGUCUACAGGUCAGUACACCACUGGACAGAGAGACAGAUGUGGUGUCUACAGGUCAGUACACCACUGUACAGAGACAGAUGUGGUGUCUACAGGUCAGUACACCACUGGACAGAGAGACAGAUGUGGUGUCUACA